UACAGAGGUGGCAAGCGUUGUUCGGAUUCAUUGGGUGUAAAGGGUGCGUAGGCGGUCAGGAUAGUCAGGUGUGAAAUCCUACAGCUCAACUGUAGAACGGCAUUUGAUACUUCCUGGCUAGAGUGCGGGAGAGGUGAAGGGAAUUCCCGGUGUAAGGGUGAAAUCUGCAGAGAUCGGGAAGAACACCAGUAGCGAAGGCGCUUCACUGGCUCGUAACUGACGCUGAGUGCACGAAGGCGUGGGGAGCAAACAGG
This 254-nucleotide ribosomal RNA is filed under the name uncultured bacterium. RNAcentral describes it as "partial 16S ribosomal RNA". It matches the Rfam family "Bacterial small subunit ribosomal RNA", at positions 524 to 776 of the family's 1533-position model. The record is from RNAcentral.